This 465-nucleotide ribosomal RNA is filed under the name Vreelandella stevensii. RNAcentral describes it as "partial 16S ribosomal RNA". It matches the Rfam family "Bacterial small subunit ribosomal RNA", at positions 338 to 795 of the family's 1533-position model. The record is from RNAcentral. Lineage: Bacteria; Pseudomonadati; Pseudomonadota; Gammaproteobacteria; Oceanospirillales; Halomonadaceae.
CCUACGGGAGGCAGCAGUGGGGAAUAUUGGACAAUGGGCGAAAGCCUGAUCCAGCCAUGCCGCGUGUGUGAAGAAGGCCUUCGGGUUGUAAAGCACUUUCAGUGGGGAAGAAAGCCUUGGGGCUAAUACCCUCGAGGAAGGACAUCACCCACAGAAGAAGCACCGGCUAACUCCGUGCCAGCAGCCGCGGUAAUACGGAGGGUGCGAGCGUUAAUCGGAAUUACUGGGCGUAAAGCGCGCGUAGGCGGUCUGAUAAGCCGGUUGUGAAAGCCCCGGGCUCAACCUGGGAACGGCAUCCGGAACUGUCAGGCUAGAGUGCAGGAGAGGAAGGUAGAAUUCCCGGUGUAGCGGUGAAAUGCGUAGAGAUCGGGAGGAAUACCAGUGGCGAAGGCGGCCUUCUGGACUGACACUGACGCUGAGGUGCGAAAGCGUGGGUAGCAAACAGGAUUAGAUACCCCGGUAAUC